Molecule: small nuclear RNA, 141 nt
Organism: Candoia aspera
Lineage: Eukaryota; Metazoa; Chordata; Lepidosauria; Squamata; Candoiidae
Product: U4 spliceosomal RNA
Exons: 1
Source: RefSeq, a predicted model, not a curated record
AGCUUUGCACAUUGGCAGUAUUGUAGCCAAUGAGGUUUAUCCGAGGUGUGAUUAUUGCUAAUUGAAAACUUUUCCCACAAGGAAUCCCAGGACUCUAGGCUAGACUGGGAAAUGUGUAUACACCCACCCACACAAAAGUGU